This 82-nucleotide non-coding RNA is filed under the name pig gut metagenome. RNAcentral's name for it is "Fluoride riboswitch". It matches the Rfam family "Fluoride riboswitch aptamer (crcB RNA motif)", at positions 7 to 58 of the family's 64-position model. The record is from RNAcentral.
CAACGGGAAUGAAGUUCUCCCGUGGGUAAAGUGUAUUCCCGCACUUCACCCUAAACCGCUUACAAAGGCUGAUGACUUCUGU